UACGUAGGGGGCAAGCGUUGUCCGGAAUCAUUGGGCGUAAAGCGCGCGUAGGCGGCCCUGUAAGUCCGCUGUAAAAGUCAAAGGCUCAACCUUUGAAAGCCGGUGGAUACUGCAGGGCUAGAGUCCGGAAGAGGCGAGUGGAAUUCCUGGUGUAGCGGUGGAAUGCGCAGAUAUCAGGAGGAACACCAAUAGCGAAGGCAGCUCGCUGGGACGGUACUGACGCUAAGGCGCGAAAGCUAGGGGAGCAAACAGG
RNAcentral lists this ribosomal RNA (253 nucleotides) under uncultured bacterium. RNAcentral describes it as "partial 16S ribosomal RNA". It matches the Rfam family "Bacterial small subunit ribosomal RNA", at positions 524 to 776 of the family's 1533-position model. The record is from RNAcentral.